GACAGAGGGUGCAAACGUUGUUCGGAAUUACUGGGCGUAAAGCGUGUGUAGGUGGCUGCGUAAGUCGGAUGUGAAAGCCCUGGGCUCAACUCAGGAAGUGCACUCGAUACUGCGUAGCUCGAGUACCGGAGAGGUUGGUAGAAUUCUCGGUGUAGAGGUGAAAUUCGUAGAUAUCGAGAGGAAUACCUGUGGCGAAGGCGGCCAACUGGACGAGUACUGACACUGAGACACGAAAGCGUGGGGGAGCAAACAGG
RNAcentral lists this ribosomal RNA (254 nucleotides) under uncultured bacterium. RNAcentral describes it as "partial 16S ribosomal RNA". It matches the Rfam family "Bacterial small subunit ribosomal RNA", at positions 524 to 776 of the family's 1533-position model. The record is from RNAcentral.